UCCUACGGGGGGCAGCAGUGGGGGAUAUUGCACAAUGGGCGCAAGCCUGAUGCAGCGACGCCGCGUGAGCGAAGAAGUAUUUCGGUAUGUAAAGCUCUAUCAGCAGGGAAGAAAAUGACGGUACCUGACUAAGAAGCUCCGGCUAAAUACGUGCCAGCAGCCGCGGUAAUACGUAUGGAGCAAGCGUUAUCCGGAUUCACUGGGUGUAAAGGGAGCGUAGACGGCGAGACAAGUCUGGAGUGAAAGGCCGGGGCCCAACCCCGGGACUGCUCUGGAAACUGCCUGGCUGGCGUACAGGAGAGGUA
RNAcentral lists this ribosomal RNA (305 nucleotides) under uncultured bacterium. RNAcentral's name for it is "bacterial SSU rRNA". It matches the Rfam family "Bacterial small subunit ribosomal RNA", at positions 337 to 659 of the family's 1533-position model. The record is from RNAcentral.